UGAGUCCGCCGGACAGUCGCUGUUCCACAUUUGUGGAAGGGAGGAAAGUCCGGGCUCCACAGGGUAAGGUGCCAGAUAACGUCUGGGCGGCGUGAGUCGACGGAAAGUGCAGCAGAGAGUAGACCGCCUAAGCAUCGCAAGAUGACGGUAAGGGUGAAAGGGUGCGGUAAGAGCGCACCGCGUGGGUGGCAACAUUCCACGGCAUGGUAAACCCCACUGGGAGCAAGACCAAAUAGGGAUCCGCUAGGUGUGACCCGCACUGGAUCCGGGUAGGUUGCUGGAGGUGCAUAGCGAUGUGCACCCUAGAUGAAUGGCUGUCUAUUACAGAACCCGGCUUAUAGGCGGACUCAGGUU
Molecule: RNase P RNA, 354 nt
Filed under: Neptunomonas marina
Lineage: Bacteria; Pseudomonadati; Pseudomonadota; Gammaproteobacteria; Oceanospirillales; Oceanospirillaceae
Description: Bacterial RNase P class A
Rfam family: Bacterial RNase P class A
About the family: Ribonuclease P (RNase P) is a ubiquitous endoribonuclease, found in archaea, bacteria and eukarya as well as chloroplasts and mitochondria. Its best characterised activity is the generation of mature 5'-ends of tRNAs by cleaving the 5'-leader elements of precursor-tRNAs. Cellular RNase Ps are ribonucleoproteins.
Source: Rfam by way of RNAcentral